RNAcentral lists this small nuclear RNA (196 nucleotides) under Prunus persica (peach). Its description in RNAcentral is "snRNA U2". It matches the Rfam family "U2 spliceosomal RNA". From Rfam's summary of the family: U2 is a small nuclear RNA (snRNA) component of the spliceosome (involved in pre-mRNA splicing). The record is from Rfam by way of RNAcentral. Lineage: Eukaryota; Viridiplantae; Streptophyta; Magnoliopsida; Rosales; Rosaceae.
AUACCUUUCUCGGCCUUUUGGCUAAGAUCAAGUGUAGUAUCUGUUCUUAUCAGUUUAAUAUCUGAUACGUGGACCAAUGGUCCACACGAUAUUAAAUUAAUUUCUUUUGGGGGAGUGUCCUCCACAGUAGCUUGCUAUUGGGGCUCUCGCGCGUCGCCCAAGCGUUGCACUAUUGCAUGGGCCUGGCGCACCCCAC